RNAcentral lists this long non-coding RNA (243 nucleotides) under Danio rerio (zebrafish). RNAcentral describes it as "lncRNA si:dkey-193d10.4 (ENSDARG00000097945.2)". The record is from RNAcentral. Lineage: Eukaryota; Metazoa; Chordata; Actinopteri; Cypriniformes; Danionidae.
GGAGCAGAUGGAGACUCACAAGCGGAAUGGUGGAGAUAUACUGCAAGACCGGGAGCUCAGGAAGCAAAUUUGUACGGAGCAUGUGGAAGAACAGGGAAACACACCUCAGUAAUCACAAGUGCAUCGUAAUAAAUUAGAGUGGAGUGGAGAAUUUAGGGAAUCACAUCUCUGCAAUGAUGAGAAACUGCUGGUCAGGUAUCACCUAUCACCGAAAGAUGUUCAAGAGGAAGGGGGUGGUGGUGG